GGGUAUAUAGCUCAAUUGGUAGAGCAAUGGAAUCAUAAUCCCUGCGCUGUAGGUUCAAGUCCUACUAUACCUA
RNAcentral lists this transfer RNA (73 nucleotides) under Bulbochaete rectangularis var. hiloensis. RNAcentral describes it as "tRNA-Met". It matches the Rfam family "tRNA". From Rfam's summary of the family: Transfer RNA (tRNA) molecules are approximately 80 nucleotides in length. Their secondary structure includes four short double-helical elements and three loops (D, anti-codon, and T loops). The record is from RNAcentral. Lineage: Eukaryota; Viridiplantae; Chlorophyta; Chlorophyceae; Oedogoniales; Oedogoniaceae.